Molecule: RNA transcript, 2341 nt
Organism: Triticum dicoccoides
Lineage: Eukaryota; Viridiplantae; Streptophyta; Magnoliopsida; Poales; Poaceae
Exons: 7
Source: RefSeq, a predicted model, not a curated record
GCACACCGACCCCGAUCGACCCCCACCCCACCAAACUCUCUCUCUCUCUCUCUCCUCUCAUCCAUAGCCGCCGCCCCGCUCAUCCGCCCGGCGAUCCCACCGGCCGGCGCCCUCCGCCCCCAUCCCCUCCACCUUCCCCCACCUUCUAUCCAUCUAUAUGCCCCUAGACUAGAUCGAGCAGGCGGGCGCUGUCAGAUCGGGAUCGGUCAUGCCCACGGCGGGGCAUCUGGAUCCGCGCCGCCGUCGAUCCAGGACGCGACGUUCAGCUCCUUCUCCAAAUCCAAGCCAAGGGUGACGAGGAGUGAGGGGGCUUCCUCCCAGCUCUCUCUCCCGGGAUGCCGCCAUCCAUGCCAUCAAGCUCUGACCCCGCCGCCGCCGACAUCUUCGACCCAUAACGAGCAGCUUAGUCAAGGUAUCUCUCUCUCUCUCUAAUCGCAUCUGAUCUGGGCUUCUCUUGCAGACAGAUGUGCGGCAGGGGAGAAAAGGAAGAUUGGGAUGCCGGCAUCAUCUCUAGACACCGCCGCGCUUCUGCUACUGCUGCAACCCUAGCUAGCACCGACGACGCCAUGGAGCAAGUAAAGGCUUGGUUCCCUGAUGAUACGGUUUCCUCAUGCAAACAUGUGCAGUUUUGCCCGUGGAUUCUUCAUCCCCUCUGUGCAUCAUCUCUGGACACCACUCUUCCGCUGCUGCAACCCCAGCUAGCACCGAUGACGCCAUGCAUGCAGCAAGUCAAGAUGCGUGGGGAGAGAGCGCAGAAUGGGAUCCGGCAUCAUCUUGGAACGCCGCUCUUCUGCUGCUGCGACCCUACCACCGACGACGCCAUGGAGCAAGUCAAGGUAGGGGUUUUCUUGUUUAAUUUCAACUCGUGUGCAUGCGCAACAUCACCUGCUCAGUUCGUUCUGCUUGCUUGCCAUCAUCUGAAAGUGUUGUUCUCAUCACCAACCCCAGAUGGGCGGGGCUGGCAAGGACGUCUUGGACCUACUCCUCUUCUGCGCCGCCGCUUGAGCGGCCUCGGCAGAGGCCCCCGCGCUGCACUAGGUCCCGGAGGGGCUCUCCAAGGCGCCGGCCGCUGCCAUGGAGGAGAUGGCGCACACAAUUUAGUAUUCUUAGACCUUGAGCAUAACAAUUCUGAAGCCACUCGGGCUGACUUGGAAGGCAGCUUUUGUUAUCACCCUGAAUUUCAUAUUUGAUGCCAGGCAGCAGCAUCCCUCCCCCCACAAUGCUUUAGUUUGCUAUUACAUGGUUGCCUGUUUGAGCGGCAGUUUUUGUGUGCAUUGGUAGACUGUAUGACACUGUGUCCUUGUUUUUAUCACUUCACUCUAGUUUGUCUUCAACAAGUUCCACUCUGUUUAGAGAAGAUGCACUCUCUGUUUAGUUUUUAGCCAACCUAAUUUGCAAGUUUGUAUAGUCGCUAGGCUCUUCCAACAGUAGAUUCAUGGACUUUGUUAUGUUUGAAAAUGUGAAAGAUAUCAAGGUAUUGAAGUGACUACUUAGAAAAAUGGAUAGAUAGAAUAUUACCAGAAGAAUUAUGCCUCUAACUCCUUAUGUGGUUUGUAGGUGCUGUUUCUUUUUAGAACUUCCAACACAAUAGAAUUGCUUCUAAUCUUUUGCGUUAUCUUUUGUCAUGGAAGUAUCUAUGUGUUGCUUCACUGUGUAGUUCAGUUGUGCAUUACGUCUUAAAUAAGAAUCUUGGGAAAAUUUGUAGCACAUUUGCACUGACAUGUACUGCAUUGUUUUCUGUGUCAUUCUUUUGAAGAAUCUGAAGUUUCUGAACCUCUGUUGGUAAUGCUGCAGGGUUCGACGCUGACGGACGUCGAGAGGUUCAUGGACUUGACGGUUGCGUUGCUGCCGAUGUACGGAGAGGCGAAGCUACUGCUCGUCCUCUACCUCUGGCACCCCAGCAUACUGGGUGCGGGGCACGUGUACGAUGGCUUCCUCUGUCCAGUGGUGGUGACAACAUCGAGUGAUGCCUGUUGGAGCUGAGGGCCAGGGUGUGGGAGGUGACGGCGUCGCAACUCAAGGCAGUGGCUGCCGUUGGCCGGGUGUGGCUCGUCGAGGCUUCCCGGUGUGUUUUGUCGCAGGCGCCGCACAACAACUAACAAGUCUUGGUCUCAGGCAUCUAGAAGUAGUAGUAAAAUUCUAAAUUUGCAUGGCAAGAACCACUUACGUAGGUAGCUUCCUACCAAGUUGCCAUGGACAACACUGUGUCGCUACAAUGAGUCGCUACAAUGAGGAACUUUGUGAUAGUAAUUAUACAUGAGUUGUCGCUACAAUGAGGAACUCUGUGAUAGUAGAUACGGCAGUUGUGUGAUAGAAUGGAAUUGGUUGAUUUUAUUUUAUU